GAACUACUUUAUAAAUUGCAGUUUGUGUAUACCUAUAUUGCCCCGUGGCAGAUCACAUGGGGUUCUGCUUUCCAUGCUUUUGCUCAGCCUUUUGCAGUGCCUCAUUCAGCCAUGCUGUUUAUUCAGGCUGCUGUCUCGGCCUUCUUCUCUACUCCACUGAACCCCUUUCUGGGAAGUGCAAUAUUCAUCACUUCAUAUGUCCGACCUGUGAAAUUCUGGGAGAGAGACUAUAACACAAAACGAGUGGAUCAUUCAAAUACCAGAUUGGCUUCCCAGCUUGAUAGAAAUCCAGGAUCAGAUGACAACAAUCUGAAUUCCAUCUUUUAUGAGCAUUUAACUAGAUCCCUACAACACAGCCUCUGUGGUGAUUUGCUACUAGGACGGUGGGGAAACUACAGUACAGGGGACUGUUUCAUCCUUGCCUCUGACUAUCUCAAUGCAUUAGUACACCUUAUAGAGAUAGGCAAUGGUCUGGUCACUUUUCAGCUGCGGGGACUUGAAUUCAGAGCUGUGAUCUUGAAGAAUAAGAACAAAGUGACAGAAGCCAUUAAAGGAUCUGCUUCAUUGAAGACAAAAAGAUGAA
Molecule: small RNA, 583 nt
Filed under: Pan troglodytes (chimpanzee)
Lineage: Eukaryota; Metazoa; Chordata; Mammalia; Primates; Hominidae
Description: processed transcript
Source: RNAcentral